GACCGCGUAGCUCAGUUGGCAGAGCAUUGGGCUAGCAUUCCAAAGGUCGUAGGUUCGAUUCCCAUCGUGGCUA
This 73-nucleotide transfer RNA is filed under the name Paramuricea clavata. It matches the Rfam family "tRNA". From Rfam's summary of the family: Transfer RNA (tRNA) molecules are approximately 80 nucleotides in length. Their secondary structure includes four short double-helical elements and three loops (D, anti-codon, and T loops). Further hydrogen bonds mediate the characteristic L-shaped molecular structure. tRNAs have two regions of fundamental functional importance: the anti-codon, which is responsible for specific mRNA codon recognition, and the 3' end, to which the tRNAs corresponding amino acid is attached (by aminoacyl-tRNA synthetases). tRNAs cope with the degeneracy of the genetic code in two manners: having more than one tRNA (with a specific anti-codon) for a particular amino acid; and 'wobble' base-pairing, i.e. permitting non-standard base-pairing at the 3rd anti-codon position. Lineage: Eukaryota; Metazoa; Cnidaria; Anthozoa; Malacalcyonacea; Plexauridae. The record is from Rfam by way of RNAcentral.